Molecule: unclassified non-coding RNA, 200 nt
Filed under: soil metagenome
Description: partial contains internal transcribed spacer 2 and large subunit ribosomal RNA
Source: RNAcentral
UUCGAGCGUCAUUAUAACCACUCAAGCUCUCGCUUGGUAUUGGGGUGCGCGGUUCCGCGGCCUCUAAAGUCAGUGGCGGUGCCUGUCGGCUCUACGCGUAGUAAUACUCCUCGCGUCUGGGUCCGGUAGGUUGCUUGCCAACAACCCCCAAUUUUUUACAGGUUGACCUCGGAUCAGGUAGGGAUACCCGCUGAACUUAA